UUGAAAUAAAACUGAAUUGGGCCUGUCUUUGCUGGGCCCAAAAGACUGAAAUUACUGGGCUUCUAAUCCAAUUUAUGCUGGGCUAGAAAUGCCUCUGCACUUGCUAAAAUUGGGCCAUGAAAUUGCUGCAAAGAGAAUGGGCUGAGAACGCUGGAUUGGGGGUGGCUUCGGCUUCGCUGGAAUCUUCAAGCGGCGGCGUUGAAGGAACUCACACGGACUGAAAAGGAAGUGGAGCUGGCCGCGUGGACUGAAGCUUGUUGGUGGAGGCGGCGACAAGAGGACUUGAAGAUCGGUGGACUUGGACACGUGUGACUUCGCUGGCUUUGCUAGCUUCGUGCAACUGGGACGCGGAGGAAGAUUGGUGGAGUGGAGUCAACAAACCGGUUCGUGGUGCUUCGCUGGUUGACUGAGGCGAGGAGGAGGUGGACGCGUGGAGAAGAGGGCGCGGGCUUCGGUCUUCAGAGAUGGGCUGGCUUGCUGACCUGCGGAUGAAGACACGAAGACGUGGUCUUCAACGCUGGUUUGUUAACUAAACAACCAGCAGGCGCGGGGACUUCGGUGGAGGCUUCGCUCGGUGGAGUCUUCGGUCAGCAAGGCUUCACGAAAAUUGAAGCCGCGUGGAGUGAAGAACGCUGGUCAACGAAG
RNAcentral lists this long non-coding RNA (645 nucleotides) under Eucalyptus grandis. RNAcentral's name for it is "long non-coding RNA (EGRA_LNC001462)". Lineage: Eukaryota; Viridiplantae; Streptophyta; Magnoliopsida; Myrtales; Myrtaceae. The record is from RNAcentral.